Esox lucius (northern pike) is the source of this 1440-nucleotide long non-coding RNA. NCBI's taxonomy places the organism in Eukaryota, Metazoa, Chordata, Actinopteri, Esociformes, Esocidae. The record is from Ensembl.
CUGUGUUGGUCAAUGUUACUACAUCGGUCACUACGUUUAAAGAUAGCUAGCUACGCGACGAGGUAGGUUAUUUGUUAGCAAGCUCUAGUCAUUUAGGGUACGUUAUAACUAGCUAAAGAUACAUGAUGCACCUGUCACGAUAUGCAAGCAGGCAAGAUCAAUUUAUUUUUUAGCUUCAUAUACACUAUGUUGUCAAUAUUUUGAAAUGUAAACAAAAUAAUAAUUUGUCAUUGCCAUCUUCUAUGCAGUGGUGUAAAAAGUAGAAGCAUUUGUUCACCAGUUUUGGGAAGUUGCUAAGGAUGAGCUAAAUUACCUUAACAGAGUUCAUAAUUAACCAAGGACCUUUAUUGAUCAUUUACACUCUUAUUUUAUUGCUCACUGGUUAGUUUUGAACUCCCUUUACCUGGUUACUUAGAUCUUAAUGAGAUACUUCCCUAAAGAGGUCAACACAGCCAAAUCCAGUUAAGUACUUUUACUUUGUACUUUGUACACCUCUACAUCUAUGUGAUUGUUGUGAUCUUUCAUUAGAGUUGCCAAGAUGCGUUGUUGAGCUGGGGGAUGCUGUUGCCUGGGUAAAUGCCAACAUGGGCCUCUUCUGAGAACAGCCACCCCCGGCAUUCUUUCUUUUUCUGUUAACAGAUGUUGACCUGACCUCUACAUGAUGCACAUUGAAACUUGCCACCUUUCUGCAACAGGCUAUAGAAAAUUCUACACUUCAAGUUACCAAUUUCAACUUUCGAUAACAUUGCUGUUAAAUUGAACAGUGCAAGUCAUAGGAAGGAGAAACCAUUACAAUGAUUAUGAGAACUUGUCAGAUCUACACAGCAGAACCCACAGGUCUCAGCAAAAGACCUUCAGAACAGUUUAACUGACACUGAAGUUGUUGCUCACAGGUCCACCGCACAGUGUACCGUACAGAGCAUGUUCACAUUUGUGUAAUAUGUUGAAUCUAUGGAAAAUGCAUAAAUGGUAAUCCUGUAUAAAUGUGUGCAAAAGGGAGGCCUGUUUCACUUUGUAACAUGUAGAGCUCAGAUCAACUAUAUUGUAACUGCAAUAAGCAGCAUUCUCAACCAUCAAUCUCCUAAUGUUUGUCCUCUACUGUAUAACCAAGCAAUGGCUACCAUGGCAGGCAUAGUUUACCAUGGCAGGCAUAGUGUGUAUGGCUAUGCAUGUGUAUGUAUGCAUGUGUCUGUAUUAUAACUGCCCUCAGCAGCUUUCUAAACCACCAGUGUCUCAUUCUUGACUGUAACCAAAACCUUUAACUCUUUUAAGAGCCACUUCAGUCUUCAAAUUAAUAUAUUUCAGUUGUAUGUUACCAAACAAAUUUAAUCCUGAAAAAAAAUACAAUUAAAAAGCAUUGGAAAAUACCAUUUAAAUUUACAGAAUUGGUACAAGCAUAAUCAGACUACAGCGCUUUUUCAACAUGUAGUCAAAGCAAAU